CCUACGGGAGGCAGCAGUGAGGAAUAUUGGUCAAUGGACGAGAGUCUGAACCAGCCAAGCAGCGUGAAGGAUGACUGCUCUAUGGGUUGUAAACUUCUUUUAUAUGGGAAUAAAAUGUUCCACGUGUGGGAUUUUGUAUGUACCAUAUGAAUAAGGAUCGGCUAACUCCGUGCCAGCAGCCGCGGUAAUACGGAGGAUCCGAGCGUUAUCCGGAUUUAUUGGGUUUAAAGGGAGCGUAGGUGGAUUGUUAAGUCAGUUGUGAAAGUUUGCGGCUCAACCGUAAAAUUGCAGUUGAAACUGGCAGUCUUGAGUACAGUAGAGGUGGGCGGAAUUCGUAGUGUAGCGGUGAAAUGCUUAGAUAUCACGAAGAACUCCAGUUGCGAAGGCAGUUCACUGGACUGCAACUGACAGUGAGGCUCGAAAGUGUGGGUAGCAAACAGGAUUAGAUACCCGUGUAGUC
This 460-nucleotide ribosomal RNA is filed under the name uncultured bacterium. Its description in RNAcentral is "partial 16S ribosomal RNA". It matches the Rfam family "Bacterial small subunit ribosomal RNA", at positions 338 to 795 of the family's 1533-position model. The record is from RNAcentral.